Molecule: non-coding RNA, 74 nt
Organism: Podarcis lilfordi (Lilford's wall lizard)
Lineage: Eukaryota; Metazoa; Chordata; Lepidosauria; Squamata; Lacertidae
Source: the annotation of a GenBank genome assembly
GCCUGGAUAGCUCAGUUGGUUAUAGCAUGGUGUUAAUAACACCAAGGUUGCUGGUUCAAUCCCUGGAUGGGACA